CGGGCCGUGGCGCAGCCUGGCUAGCGCGCUUGCUUGGGGUGCAAGAGGUCCCGGGUUCAAAUCCCGGCGGCCUGACCA
RNAcentral lists this transfer RNA (78 nucleotides) under Acidobacteriota bacterium. RNAcentral's name for it is "Acidobacteria bacterium (groundwater metagenome) tRNA-Pro". It matches the Rfam family "tRNA". From Rfam's summary of the family: Transfer RNA (tRNA) molecules are approximately 80 nucleotides in length. Their secondary structure includes four short double-helical elements and three loops (D, anti-codon, and T loops). Further hydrogen bonds mediate the characteristic L-shaped molecular structure. tRNAs have two regions of fundamental functional importance: the anti-codon, which is responsible for specific mRNA codon recognition, and the 3' end, to which the tRNAs corresponding amino acid is attached (by aminoacyl-tRNA synthetases). tRNAs cope with the degeneracy of the genetic code in two manners: having more than one tRNA (with a specific anti-codon) for a particular amino acid; and 'wobble' base-pairing, i.e. permitting non-standard base-pairing at the 3rd anti-codon position. Lineage: Bacteria; Pseudomonadati; Acidobacteriota. The record is from RNAcentral.